CUCGAUCCAGACUCUCGCCUCCUCUUCCUGCUCAUCGCUGUAUUUGCCAGCGAUCUGGAAAAAUAAAUGGCUCCACACUAAAUUUCUUUGAAAAGGAUAUUUUUGGAGUUGAAUUCAUCAAGCCAUUUGUUCCUGACCUGAGAGGUUAACUUGGGUAGUGCAACAUUUGUUCGAAGUCUAUUUUAGAAUCUAACGACUAAGGAUGUGGCUUACUUUGCGAGCUGCUUCGGCAGACAUGCCAUAUCCACGAGGUCUGCUGGCCAUGUUGAAUAGAAAAAACUCGUGUA
Actinia tenebrosa (Australian red waratah sea anemone) is the source of this 287-nucleotide long non-coding RNA. NCBI's taxonomy places the organism in Eukaryota, Metazoa, Cnidaria, Anthozoa, Actiniaria, Actiniidae. The record is from RefSeq and is a predicted model, not a curated record.